RNAcentral lists this ribosomal RNA (468 nucleotides) under uncultured bacterium. RNAcentral's name for it is "partial 16S ribosomal RNA". It matches the Rfam family "Bacterial small subunit ribosomal RNA", at positions 28 to 507 of the family's 1533-position model. The record is from RNAcentral.
GACGAACGCUGGCGGCGUGCUUAACACAUGCAAGUCGAACGGAAAGGCCCUGCUUUUGUGGGGUGCUCGAGUGGCGAACGGGUGAGUAACACGUGAGUAACCUGCCCUUGACUUUGGGAUAACUUCAGGAAACUGGGGCUAAUACCGGAUAGGAGCUCCUGCUGCAUGGUGGGGGUUGGAAAGUUUCGGCGGUUGGGGAUGGACUCGCGGCUUAUCAGCUUGUUGGUGGGGUAGUGGCUUACCAAGGCUUUGACGGGUAGCCGGCCUGAGAGGGUGACCGGCGACAUUGGGACUGAGAUACGGACCAGACUCCUACGGGAGGCAGCAGUGGGGAAUAUUGCACAAUGGGCGGAAGCCUGAUGCAGCAACGCCGCGUGCGUGAUGACGGCCUUCGGGUGGUAAACCGCUUUCGCCUGUGACGAAGCGGGAGUGACGGUAAUGGGUAAAGAAGCACCGGCUAACUACGUG